RNAcentral lists this transfer RNA (72 nucleotides) under Camelus bactrianus (Bactrian camel). It matches the Rfam family "tRNA". From Rfam's summary of the family: Transfer RNA (tRNA) molecules are approximately 80 nucleotides in length. Their secondary structure includes four short double-helical elements and three loops (D, anti-codon, and T loops). Lineage: Eukaryota; Metazoa; Chordata; Mammalia; Artiodactyla; Camelidae. The record is from Rfam by way of RNAcentral. RNAcentral also lists the same sequence under 2 other names.
GAGGAUAUAGCUCAAGUGGUAGAGAACAUGCUUGGCAAGCACGAGGUCCUGGGUUCAAUCCCAGUAUCUCCU